CUAAUACAUGCAAGUCGAGCGAACUGAUUAGAAGCUUGCUUCUAUGACGUUAGCGGCGGACGGGUGAGUAACACGUGGGCAACCUGCCUGUAAGACUGGGAUAACUUCGGGAAACCGAAGCUAAUACCGGAUAGGAUCUUCUCCUUCAUGGGAGAUGAUUGAAAGAUGGUUUCGGCUAUCACUUACAGAUGGGCCCGCGGUGCAUUAGCUAGUUGGUGAGGUAACGGCUCACCAAGGCAACGAUGCAUAGCCGACCUGAGAGGGUGAUCGGCCACACUGGGACUGAGACACGGCCCAGACUCCUACGGGAGGCAGCAGUAGGGAAUCUUCCGCAAUGGACGAAAGUCUGACGGAGCAACGCCGCGUGAGUGAUGAAGGCUUUCGGGUCGUAAAACUCUGUUGUUAGGGAAGAACAAGUACAAGAGUAACUGCUUGUACCUUGACGGUACCUAACCAGAAAGCCACGGCUAACUACGUGCCAGCAGCCGCGGUAAUACGUAGGUGGCAAGCGUUAUCCGGAAUUAUUGGGCGUAAAGCGCGCGCAGGCGGUUUCUUAAGUCUGAUGUGAAAGCCCACGGCUCAACCGUGGAGGGUCAUUGGAAACUGGGGAACUUGAGUGCAGAAGAGAAAAGCGGAAUUCCACGUGUAGCGGUGAAAUGCGUAGAGAUGUGGAGGAACACCAGUGGCGAAGGCGGCUUUUUGGUCUGUAACUGACGCUGAGGCGCGAAAGCGUGGGGAGCAAACAGGAUUAG
Molecule: ribosomal RNA, 752 nt
Filed under: Priestia megaterium
Lineage: Bacteria; Bacillati; Bacillota; Bacilli; Caryophanales; Bacillaceae
Description: bacterial SSU rRNA
Rfam family: Bacterial small subunit ribosomal RNA
Source: RNAcentral